Molecule: RNA transcript, 1382 nt
Organism: Solanum pennellii
Lineage: Eukaryota; Viridiplantae; Streptophyta; Magnoliopsida; Solanales; Solanaceae
Gene name: purine permease 1-like
Exons: 3
Source: RefSeq, a predicted model, not a curated record
UAUAAAUAGUCAACCAUGGAGAUUUCUAAUUAUACAUUUACCAUAAACCAAAAUAAGAAAUUCAAAAAUCGAAAAUGAAGAAGCUUAUCUUCCUAAUUUUUAACAUAAUUAUGCUUUCCAUCGGCAAUUGCGGUGGCCCUUUAAUCUCUCGACUCUAUUUCAUUCAUGGCGGCCAACGAAUUUGGAUACCCAGCGUAUUACAAACUGUUGGUUGUCCAGUUAUUCUCAUCCCUUUAGCCAUUGCCUAUUUUCAACGCCGGAAAAUUCAAGGAUCCGAGGCUAAAAUCGUCUUUAUCACACGGCAAGAGUUCAUCGCAUCUGCCGGAGUCGGAAUCAUCGUCGGACUCGAUGGUUACUUAAACUCGUGGGGACCAGCGAAAUUACCCGUUUCAACUUCGACUCUAAUCAACGCGACUCAGCUUGCGUUCACUGCGCUUUUUGCUGUGCUUAUAGUCAAACAGAAAUUGACUGCGUAUUCGACGAAUUCAGUCGUUUUGCUUAUCGCCGGAGCUGCGACUUUAGCCCUCCGAGCGAACGGUGACCGUCCGGCCGGCGAGUCGGCGAAGGAUUAUAUGUUGGGGUUUGUGAUGACGUUUGUUGGUGCGGUGUUAUAUGGAUUGAUGUUGCCGUUAAUUGAGUUGAUCUAUAUGAAGUCGAAGCAAGCUGUUACUUACAUUACUGUACUGGAGAUUCAGAUGGUUCUGGGAAUUUCUGCUACUGUUUUUUGCACUAUUGGAAUGAUUAUCAAUAAGGAUUUCCAGGCGAUUCCAAGGGAAGCAAGUCAAUAUACAAUUGGAGAAUCUAAAUAUUAUAUGGUACUCGUAUUGUGCGCUAUUAUUUGGCAAUUCGCGCUCAUGGGUUUGGUUGGAGUUAUUUUUUAUUCUUCGUCUUUGCUCUCUGGAAUUAUAGGCGCUUUUUUACUUCCUGUUACUGAAGUUUUGGCUGUAAUUCUGUUUCACGAAAAAUUUCAAGCGGAAAAAGGAGUUGCUAUUUUUCUAGCUUUAUGGGGAUUCGUUUCAUAUUUUUAUGGUGAAUAUGAACAAGGGAAGAAGGAGAAGAAAAUGAAGUUGAAGAAAAAUGAGAGUCAAAUAUCUCAACAAUUAGACAUGGGCCAAACAGGCGCAGGACAUGCUGUGUAGUAAAUUUAAUGUGAUGGCCAAAUAUUUUAUUUUAUUGUACUUGUAUGAAAAUUAAUUAAUUUAUUAGGUGCAAAAAAAAAACAGAUGCAAAUAGUAUCUGUUUUUUUAUUUAAAAGAUGUGAUUCAAGAAUUGAUUGGUUACCCCACAACUACUCAAUAGUCAAUACACAGACCCUGAUUAAUAAGACAUUUUCUCCCUUCUAGUUGUGUUGAUCUAUUAUGAAAGAGUGAAAUUUAUCCUCA